RNAcentral lists this ribosomal RNA (741 nucleotides) under Citrobacter freundii. RNAcentral describes it as "partial 23S ribosomal RNA". It matches the Rfam family "Bacterial large subunit ribosomal RNA", at positions 2039 to 2779 of the family's 2925-position model. Lineage: Bacteria; Pseudomonadati; Pseudomonadota; Gammaproteobacteria; Enterobacterales; Enterobacteriaceae. The record is from RNAcentral.
AAAUUGAACUCGCUGUGAAGAUGCAGUGUACCCGCGGCAAGACGGAAAGACCCCGUGAACCUUUACUAUAGCUUGACACUGAACACUGGUCCUUGAUGUGUAGGAUAGGUGGGAGGCUUUGAAGUGUGGACGCCAGUCUGCAUGGAGCCAUCCUUGAAAUACCACCCUUUAAUGGCUGGUGUUCUAACGUGGACCCGUUACCCGGGUUGCGGACAGUGUCUGGUGGGUAGUUUGACUGGGGCGGUCUCCUCCUAAAGAGUAACGGAGGAGCACGAAGGUUAGCUAAUCCUGGUCGGACAUCAGGAGGUUAGUGCAAAGGCAUAAGCUAGCUUGACUGCGAGAGUGACGGCUCGAGCAGGUGCGAAAGCAGGUCUUAGUGAUCCGGUGGUUCUGAAUGGAAGGGCCAUCGCUCAACGGAUAAAAGGUACUCCGGGGAUAACAGGCUGAUACCGCCCAAGAGUUCAUAUCGACGGCGGUGUUUGGCACCUCGAUGUCGGCUCAUCACAUCCUGGGGCUGAAGUAGGUCCCAAGGGUAUGGCUGUUCGCCAUUUAAAGUGGUACGCGAGCUGGGUUUAGAACGUCGUGAGACAGUUCGGUCCCUAUCUGCCGUGGGCGCUGGAGAAUUGAGGGGGGCUGCUCCUAGUACGAGAGGACCGGAGUGGACGCAUCACUGGUGUUCGGGUUGUCAUGCCAAUGGCAUUGCCCGGUAGCUAAAUGCGGAAGAGAUAAGUGCUGAAAGCA